This 320-nucleotide unclassified non-coding RNA is filed under the name plant metagenome. Its description in RNAcentral is "partial contains 5.8S ribosomal RNA, internal transcribed spacer 2, and large subunit ribosomal RNA". The stretch from base 1 to 105 matches the Rfam family "5.8S ribosomal RNA", at positions 50 to 154 of the family's 154-position model. The record is from RNAcentral.
GAAAUGCGAUAAGUAAUGUGAAUUGCAGAAUUCAGUGAAUCAUCGAAUCUUUGAACGCACAUUGCGCCCGCCAGUAUUCUGGCGGGCAUGCCUGUUCGAGCGUCAUUACAACCCUCAGGCCCCCGGGCCUGGCGUUGGGGAUCGGCGGAAGCCCCCUGCGGGCACAACGCCGUCCCCCAAAUACAGUGGCGGUCCCGCCGCAGCUUCCAUUGCGUAGUAGCUAACACCUCGCAACUGGAGAGCGGCGCGGCCACGCCGUAAAACACCCAACUUCUGAAUGUUGACCUCGAAUCAGGUAGGAAUACGCGCUGAACAUAAGC